CCUCCGUGAUCGGAAUCGGGAAUUGCAAUUAUUUCCCUUGAACGAGGAAUUCCUAGUAAAUGUGAGCCAUCAGCUCACGUUGAUUAAGUCCCUUGUUAUU
Molecule: non-coding RNA, 100 nt
Filed under: Gongylonema pulchrum
Lineage: Eukaryota; Metazoa; Nematoda; Chromadorea; Rhabditida; Gongylonematidae
Description: Eukaryotic small subunit ribosomal RNA
Rfam family: Eukaryotic small subunit ribosomal RNA
Source: Rfam by way of RNAcentral